CAGCCGCCGCGGUAAUACGUAGGGCGCAAGCGUUAUCCGGAAUUAUUGGGCGUAAAGAGCUCGUAGGCGGUUUGUCGCGUCUGCCGUGAAAGUCCGGGGCUCAACCCCGGAUCUGCGGUGGGUACGGGCAGACUAGAGUGAUGUAGGGGAGACUGGAAUUCCUGGUGUAGCGGUGAAAUGCGCAGAUAUCAGGAGGAACACCGAUGGCGAAGGCAGGUCUCUGGGCAUUAACUGACGCUGAGGAGCGAAAGCAUGGGGAGCGAACAGGAUUAGAGACCCCAGUAGUCCCUGUCUCUUAUAC
RNAcentral lists this ribosomal RNA (301 nucleotides) under uncultured bacterium. RNAcentral's name for it is "partial 16S ribosomal RNA". It matches the Rfam family "Bacterial small subunit ribosomal RNA", at positions 509 to 807 of the family's 1533-position model. The record is from RNAcentral.